Saccostrea cuccullata (small rock oyster) is the source of this 880-nucleotide long non-coding RNA. RefSeq lists it as uncharacterized. The record is from RefSeq and is a predicted model, not a curated record. Lineage: Eukaryota; Metazoa; Mollusca; Bivalvia; Ostreida; Ostreidae. The transcript has 3 exons.
AAUGAUAAGUGUAAAAGAAAUUCAAAGGUGAAUAUCCAUUUUUUCUGCAUUUUGAAGCAUUUUUUGCUUCCCAAUUACUUCCCUUGGAUUACUCUCUAGCGUUUGGAGGUACAAUAUGUAGCCACUUGUAGUGGUAAACAAAUAAUUUGGUGAGAAAACUUAUCAAAGCGGGUCCGGGAUGAGGAUUGGCAGUGUGGAAGAAGGAAAAAAGGCCAAGAUAUAACACAUAAGAAGACAAGAGGAUUCACCAAAGAGGCUGAAAAGGAACAAGAACAUAUACACAUGUAAAUCAUGGCUAUAACGGAAUUCAAAUGAAACCUUGAAGUUAAUUUUGGAAAAGACAAUUUCAGAACUUGGGACAGCUUAUAGAUGCAUUUCUCUUCAAGGUAGAAAAAAGUCAUCUUAAAUAUAUGAGUGGAGAUGCAACAUCAUGAAAUUCAAAGUAAAGUGCAAAGCUGAAUAUCAUAAAAUCUCCAAACAACGGUGAAGCUUUAAAAGUUGGAGAUAUGGCAUUAAUUUUUUUCCUUAGAAAGUACCAUGAUGUCUGUUACUAAUAAUCUAGUUUCCCAAAUGAGGAGCAAUUUAGCUGGCUUGUCAGAUUGAUUUUCCUGAAGAUGAAAUUGGAAAUGAGAAUAUUCAUGUGUGUCUCCAUACUGGAAAUCCUCAAGAUUCAACCAUAUUUCUAAGUGACUCAGUAAGGUCAUUAUUUAAGGACACUCUUAACAGCUCACUAAUGAGCUCUACUUGAAGGACUCAUUUAAUACAGUAAGAGUGAUCUCCCCUUAGAAGUCAGAUAGAAAAAAAUGGUUGCUUACCAUUUAUUUCACAAUUAGGAAUAGAUUAAAAUAUCUUUACUAGCAUAAUCUUAGACAAAGAAUAA